RNA transcript from Hordeum vulgare subsp. vulgare (domesticated barley), 1642 nucleotides. RefSeq lists it as uncharacterized. Lineage: Eukaryota; Viridiplantae; Streptophyta; Magnoliopsida; Poales; Poaceae. The transcript has 3 exons. The record is from RefSeq and is a predicted model, not a curated record.
CCCCACUCCCUGCUCAUCCUCGCGGUUUGGGUUCCAAGGUCGCCGUUGCCCGAGAUCCCGCCCCGGCAGCUUCUCCGCCCACCCGAUGCCGUCCCUUCGUCCUGCUCCUCCGCUCCGCCCGCUCGCCUCCAAGCCCGUGGCCGCUGCUCCACCCCGUCCGCUGCUCCGCACCGCCCACUCGCCUCCAGGCCCGGAGCAACUCCUCCGCUCGCCCGACGCCCCGCUCCUUCACUCUGCACACUCUCCUCCAGGUCCGAAGCCGCUGCUCCGCACCGCCCGCUCACCUCCAGCCCCGGAGCAGCUGCUCCGACCGACGUCGUCGCUCUUCGCCCGAUGCCCAACGCGGACUCCGCCUACGCCCCACGCCGGAGUUCGCUCAGAUGGACACUUCAGAUGAAUUGGACACUUCAUAUGAAUCAGAUGAGGAAUGAGAUUUGGCCAUGUAUGCAUGUGCUAUGGAAAUGGAGUCGUCAAGUCAGAGAUUGCCAUAUGCACCAAGAAAGUUACACCUUGUCACAGACCUCCAAUGGGUGGAACAGAAGGAACAAGAUGCAAAAGCUUUCUACUCUAUGUCCAGAAUGAGGAGGUCAGUGUUUUACUCAUUGCAUGAAUUGUUGGUUCAGAAGCACGGGCUUAAGUCAACCUGCAACAUAUCAUCGAAAGAAGCGUUGACACAAUUUUUUAUGGACUUUGGGGACAUGCCAAACAACUCAUAAUGUAGCAGAUCGGUUUGGACAUAGUCGUUCCGUCAUUAACAAAAAAAUCAUGAGAUUUUGGAGUGUGUAGACCACAUGCCUGGUGAUUUCAUUAGGCCUAUUGAUCCAUCAUUCUCCGAACCACACCCCAUACUAAUAAAAAAAAGGUUCUGACCUCAUUUCAAAAAUGUUAUUGGAGCCAUAGAUGAAACACACAUUGAAGUGAUUGUUCCUAAGGAGUUGGAGCCACAACACACGAAUUGGAAAGGGGUUACAAGUGAAAAUUUCACGACAGUCUGUGAUUUUGAUAUGAGGUUCACUUUUGUUGUUCUUGGAUGGCCCGGAUCUGUUCAUGACACACGUGUAUGGAGCGAUGCUAUAGUUCGUUAUGAUCAUUUUCCACAACUCCUAUAGAUAAAUAUUACCUUGUGGACUCAUUAUAUCCAAAUAGAGUUGGAUAUCUAGCACCCACCAUGUACCGGAGUUCCAACAACACCCACCCAUUGGUAGGCACGAGACGUUCAACCAUCGUCAUUCUUCUUUGCGAAAUGUCAUCGAAAGAUCAUUCGGUGUUCUCAAGAUGAAAUGGCAAAUUCUCGGAGGCAUAACACGGUACAAACCAAAGGCCCAAAAGAUGAUUGUCAUUGCAUGCAUGUGUCUUCACAACUUCAUUCGUGAUAGCAAGUUGCAUGAUGAGCAUUUUGACAAGUUUGAUAAUGAUGCGUAUGUGCAACCCCAUUGCCAUUUACAAACGCCAACGGUCUACCAUGACCGCAACACGUGAGUCUAUUGCUACCAGUCUUGUACAAUAAGAUUAGUCAAUCUAUUUGUACUGCACUUCUUUUGUAGCAAAGAAAACGCGAAAACCUUUUUUAUUGUAAUAUUUAUCUAUCUAAGGUAUUCAAAAAUCGUAUUCAUGCUCAUAUUUAACGAUAAAUUGUUCGAAA